This 497-nucleotide ribosomal RNA is filed under the name uncultured bacterium. RNAcentral describes it as "partial 16S ribosomal RNA". It matches the Rfam family "Bacterial small subunit ribosomal RNA", at positions 28 to 507 of the family's 1533-position model. The record is from RNAcentral.
GAUGAACGCUGGCGGCGUGCCUAAUACAUGCAAGUAGAACGCUGAAGGAAGGAGCUUGCUCUUUCCGGAUGAGUUGCGAACGGGUGAGUAACGCGUAGGUAACCUGCCUGGUAGCGGGGGAUAACUAUUGGAAACGAUAGCUAAUACCGCAUAACAGUAGAUGUUGCAUGAUAUCUACUUAAAAGGUGCAAUUGCACCACUACCAGAUGGACCUGCGUUGUAUUAGCUAGUUGGUGAGGUAACGGCUCACCAAGGCGACGAUACAUAGCCGACCUGAGAGGGUGAUCGGCCACACUGGGACUGAGACACGGCCCAGACUCCUACGGGAGGCAGCAGUAGGGAAUCUUCGGUAAUGGACGGAAGUCUGACCGGGCAACGCCGCGUGAGUGAAGAAGGUUUUCGGAUCGUAAAGCUCUGUUGUAAGAGAAGAACGAGUGUGAGAGUGGAAAGUUCACACUGUGACGGUAUCUUACCAGAAAGGGACGGCUAACUACGUA